AGUGAACGCUGGCGGUAGGCCUAACACAUGCAAGUCGAACGGCAGCACAGUAAGAGCUUGCUCUUACGGGUGGCGAGUGGCGGACGGGUGAGGAAUACAUCGGAAUCUAUUUUUUCGUGGGGGAUAACGUAGGGAAACUUACGCUAAUACCGCAUACGACCUACGGGUGAAAGCAGGGGAUCUUCGGACCUUGCGCGAAUGAAUGAGCCGAUGUCGGAUUAGCUAGUUGGCGGGGUAAAGGCCCACCAAGGCGACGAUCCGUAGCUGGUCUGAGAGGAUGAUCAGCCACACUGGAACUGGGACACGGUCCAGACUCCUACGGGAGGCAGCAGUGGGGAAUAUUGGACAAAGGGCGCAAGCCUGAUCCAGCCAUACCGCGUGGGUGAAGAAGGCCUUCGGGUUGUAAAGCCCUUUUGUUGGGAAAGAAAAGCAGCAGGUUAAUACCCCGCUGUUCUGACGGUACCCAAAGAAUAAGCACCGGCUAACUUCGUG
This 492-nucleotide ribosomal RNA is filed under the name uncultured bacterium. Its description in RNAcentral is "partial 16S ribosomal RNA". It matches the Rfam family "Bacterial small subunit ribosomal RNA", at positions 29 to 507 of the family's 1533-position model. The record is from RNAcentral.